This is a long non-coding RNA of Oncorhynchus tshawytscha (Chinook salmon), 3248 nucleotides long. NCBI's taxonomy places the organism in Eukaryota, Metazoa, Chordata, Actinopteri, Salmoniformes, Salmonidae. The record is from Ensembl.
GUCAAAUAUGAUUUUUCUUUCAGGUUUAUUUUACAUUUUCAUGUCAUAUUUUUAUUGCCAAACAUAUAUGGUUAUCUACAGCUUGGUUGUUACAAGUUUUACUGUACCUGGAGAAAUGCCAAACUCUGGGCAAGUUUCCCAUGUAGAAUUUAGUAACCAUGAGAACCCUGAGGAACAUUGAGCGAAUACGCAAAUCUUUAUUUUAUUAAGUAAGAUAAUACCAAAUUAAAUGUUCUUCUAAAUACUUUAUUUACAUGAACAUAAUAUUACAUCCAUAUAGAUAUAAAAUAAUUGAGAGAGAGAGAGAGAGAGAGAGAGAGAGAGAGAGAGAGAGAGAGAGAGAGAGAGAGAGAGAGAGAGAGAGAGAAGAUUUGAAUGCACCUUUAAGCAUUUAAAUUACUUCUGGCAUCACAAAUAUCCCAAAAUGCUGUAUAGCUUUCUUUUAGACAUCCUGGGCCGCUGCUCAAGGAAGAAACUCUGACACAAGCUUGGCACAUGGAAAAUCACUGGCAACUUAAUCAAUCUUCCAGUGCAAAGUUCCUUUAUAGUUAUUGUCUUUAUCACCAUAAACACCAUAUCUCAACCCAUCUGUCAUUUCAACCAUUGUGUCCAUGUUCUGGUCAUAUACACACACAAACACAGUGUAUACACAUAGUGUAGACCUAAGAGCUCAAACUUCUGUGCAAGAAGGAGAGAGGGAAAAAAGAAGGUAAUGCCAUUCAAUGGACGGCAUUACCAGACAGUAUUAGACAGGGAUGAAUAGAUCUAACCAUGUCUGGUAAGACGCCAAUCAACAGGCCAUGGAGCUAGGACUGAAGGACUCUCUGAACCAACCGUCCCCUGUACGCAAAGGGAGCCAGCUGGAAAAAGGCAGGAUGAGAUGCAAGAAGAGACAGGCUGAAAAAUAUACAGUAUGUCAGUCUGUCUGUCCGUCCGUCUGUCUCACACACAGACAUGGAUACUAGUUUGUCUUUUUCGUAUUCUCAAAGACUAUGUUAUUUGGAGUUAAUUUACAAUGAAGACAAAAGACAUAUUGAUGAUUGACUGGUCACGUCAAAGAUAUAGAAAAACAGCUUAAGUGGGAAAAUGUGGUGCCUUUUCACCACAAAUGAAAUCCUCAUGCCACUUUAAGGUUCAGUGCAACAUCUAAAUGGUCUUUUUAACCGUGUGAAAAGGAGAGGGGAUAAAAAAGGGAAAGAAAAAAUAUGACAAACAUUGAACCAUUCCGUGUGUCUAUGUCAUAGAUAAAGGCAAACGACAUGAGGUGAGCCAAUAAAGGUGUGGUUCAAUAUUUGUGGGGUAAUUCUCCCUCCUUAAACAAACAUUCAGACUGUGCCGGCUCCUUGUUUAUUAUUUUCCUAUGUCUGUGCUGCCUGUUUGAGAGCUUUACCUACUUAAUUGGGAUUUAUUUUUCUUCAUGGAAGACCAUGACAAAUGGGAGACAUGGAACGAGAUGGAAGUUUUCCUUAAGGGAUCAAUUCGUUCAAGUCUAUGGCUGUUUAUCAGUUGCUUAUGACAAAAAGGAAACACAAUAAAAACAUUCUAAUUGUAACCAAAAAGAUGCAAGGCAAAACACUUUUGUUCUCCAAUAAAGCCUAGUAAAAUGACAAAAGACACUACAGAUAGAGUUAUGGGAUAUACUUAGCUGUGAUUAAAAAAAGAGCAAUCAUUCAUAUGAAGGGAGAGAGAGAGAGGGGAGGCUGGGGGGAGUCAAGGAGGAUGUUGUUGAGUUUCUUUCUUUCGUAAGUGCUCAGGUGAGCUCGUGUCAGUUUCAGGAUGUAACACGCAGGUAAGGCGAGCUGAACCAAUCACAGUGACACAACACAAAGCCAUACGCUGCAGGGGGGAGGGGACACGGAAAUGAGUAGUACGACCGGUGGAACCAUCAACCGACUGGUAUUCUUUAACUCAGGCUGGGUGGGGCCACUAUAAAACAGGACAGGGAAGUGGAUAAUACAAAGACUGGGUGAGCUAGCGCCCCUAACUGUCUCCUCUACUUGUCCUCUCGGUUCUCGCAAUCUGUUCGUGCCACUAAUCUACUCCACUUGCUUAAAUUGAUUCCUAACUGAGUAACACUAAGAUAUUUCAACUACUUUGAUUGACAAAGCACCCCAGUCAUAUCUGCCAUAAAUUUUUCCAAUAUGAUUCUCAAAAUAAGCACUUCAUAUGCCUAUCUUUUUGACAAAUAAAUGAUGAUGUUGAAACGGAUCAUUUUUCAGAUGUGUAGUUUUAGCUAGUGUAAUAAAGAUGUGCCAAACGGAAGAUUUAGGACAAUCUCCAUGGACAAUCGCCCAUGUAGAAUCAAGUCAACACAAAAGAGGGGAAACACAAUAACAUUCUCUUCCCAGUUUCCUGGUAUAGCCAGCCCACCUCUGCAUGCUAGCAAAAUUCUAACCAAAAUUACAGAUGCGACGCUCAACCAAGUCUUCUUAUCGGUGACGUUAUCGGACAUCAAAUCCUUGAAGAAAGAUGGAGUGUUCAAACUGUGUAUUCAAACUGGAGUCAAGUGUUACCAUUACCACAGUACAGUUACCACAGAUAAUCUGAUCAGGUAUUGCCUAUGGUAGGUUUUCAUUCAAGGGGUCACACCUGACCCUCUAAGUCUGCCCAUAGCUGACGAGUAUCUCUGGAGGUAUGUGAGUCACCCAGGAAACAUCGUUACCAGACAGUGUUAGAACACAGUUGUACAAUCCAGCACUGUCAGGUAAGAUGGAUCCUGAAAGCCAUUUCAGUGGGAACCAAGCCAUUUAAUUUGAAACAAAACAGCCUCCAAGUUGAGGUAAAGUGUGUUAAUGUAGCUAGCUAAUAUCGUAAGUUGUGUGGCGUCUCACUGUAGUUAGCAGAUGGCUAUCAUCAUCAUUACCAGGCAGUAUUAGAGAGAGUGAUUAUAUCCAAUGCUGCCUCGUAAGAUGGGGAUGACCAUCCAAACAUGAAUAGGAGACAAACAAUGGGUCAUAAAAGUUAUUAUUUUACAGAUCGCAUUAAUAAUAUUUUCCUCUGAGCAUUUUCCAAUACAUGUUUCUCUUGUAUAUAUUAGUGUUGUGAUAUCUCCUGAUUUUGACUCACAAAACUUGAUAAAGGCUAACCAUCCUUUGGUAGGUUUGUGUGUGGAUAAGCCCCGCCUAUGGGUAUAAUGGUGGCUUCAGGGACAUUCCACUCUGAAAAGAGAGGGGUGUUCUAAACUGUUGACAACCCUAACUGUGGAUGCAAAUGAUCAUUAGAAGGCCAGUCUAUCACAUCUCUGAAAC